This 569-nucleotide ribosomal RNA is filed under the name Dermacoccus nishinomiyaensis. Its description in RNAcentral is "bacterial SSU rRNA". It matches the Rfam family "Bacterial small subunit ribosomal RNA", at positions 1 to 580 of the family's 1533-position model. Lineage: Bacteria; Bacillati; Actinomycetota; Actinomycetes; Micrococcales; Dermacoccaceae. The record is from RNAcentral.
UCUACGGAGAGUUUGAUCCUGGCUCAGGACGAACGCUGGCGGCGUGCUUAACACAUGCAAGUCGAACGAUGAAGCACCAGCUUGCUGGUGUGGAUUAGUGGCGAACGGGUGAGUAACACGUGAGUAACCUGCCCCUCACUCUGGGAUAAGCCUGGGAAACUGGGUCUAAUACUGGAUACGACCGAUCUCCGCAUGGAGUGUUGGUGGAAAGUUUUUGUGGUGGGGGAUGGACUCGCGGCCUAUCAGCUUGUUGGUGGGGUAAUGGCCUACCAAGGCGACGACGGGUAGCCGGCCUGAGAGGGCGACCGGCCACACUGGGACUGAGACACGGCCCAGACUCCUACGGGAGGCAGCAGUGGGGAAUAUUGCACAAUGGGCGAAAGCCUGAUGCAGCGACGCCGCGUGAGGGAUGACGGCCUUCGGGUUGUAAACCUCUUUCACCAGGGACGAAGCUAACGUGACGGUACCUGGAGAAGAAGCACCGGCUAACUACGUGCCAGCAGCCGCGGUAAUACGUAGGGUGCGAGCGUUGUCCGGAAUUAUUGGGCGUAAAGAGCUUGUAGGCGGUU